RNAcentral lists this ribosomal RNA (2903 nucleotides) under Escherichia coli. RNAcentral's name for it is "23S ribosomal RNA". It matches the Rfam family "Bacterial large subunit ribosomal RNA". The record is from RNAcentral. Lineage: Bacteria; Pseudomonadati; Pseudomonadota; Gammaproteobacteria; Enterobacterales; Enterobacteriaceae.
UUAAGCGACUAAGCGUACACGGUGGAUGCCCUGGCAGUCAGAGGCGAUGAAGGACGUGCUAAUCUGCGAUAAGCGUCGGUAAGGUGAUAUGAACCGUUAUAACCGGCGAUUUCCGAAUGGGGAAACCCAGUGUGAUUCGUCACACUAUCAUUAACUGAAUCCAUAGGUUAAUGAGGCGAACCGGGGGAACUGAAACAUCUAAGUACCCCGAGGAAAAGAAAUCAACCGAGAUUCCCCCAGUAGCGGCGAGCGAACGGGGAGCAGCCCAGAGCCUGAAUCAGUGUGUGUGUUAGUGGAAGCGUCUGGAAAGGCGCGCGAUACAGGGUGACAGCCCCGUACACAAAAAUGCACAUGCUGUGAGCUCGAUGAGUAGGGCGGGACACGUGGUAUCCUGUCUGAAUAUGGGGGGACCAUCCUCCAAGGCUAAAUACUCCUGACUGACCGAUAGUGAACCAGUACCGUGAGGGAAAGGCGAAAAGAACCCCGGCGAGGGGAGUGAAAAAGAACCUGAAACCGUGUACGUACAAGCAGUGGGAGCACAGAGCAAUCUGUGUGACUGCGUACCUUUUGUAUAAUGGGUCAGCGACUUAUAUUCUGUAGCAAGGUUAACCGAAUAGGGGAGCCGAAGGGAAACCGAGUCUUAACUGGGCGUUAAGUUGCAGGGUAUAGACCCGAAACCCGGUGAUCUAGCCAUGGGCAGGUUGAAGGUUGGGUAACACUAACUGGAGGACCGAACCGACUAAUGUUGAAAAAUUAGCGGAUGACUUGUGGCUGGGGGUGAAAGGCCAAUCAAACCGGGAGAUAGCUGGUUCUCCCCGAAAGCUAUUUAGGUAGCGCCUCGUGAAUUCAUCUCCGGGGGUAGAGCACUGUUUCGGCAAGGGGGUCAUCCCGACUUACCAACCCGAUGCAAACUGCGAAUACCGGAGAAUGUUAUCACGGGAGACACACGGCGGGUGCUAACGUCCGUCGUGAAGAGGGAAACAACCCAGACCGCCAGCUAAGGUCCCAAAGUCAUGGUUAAGUGGGAAACGAUGUGGGAAGGCCCAGACAGCCAGGAUGUUGGCUUAGAAGCAGCCAUCAUUUAAAGAAAGCGUAAUAGCUCACUGGUCGAGUCGGCCUGCGCGGAAGAUGUAACGGGGCUAAACCAUGCACCGAAGCUGCGGCAGCGACACUAUGUGUUGUUGGGUAGGGGAGCGUUCUGUAAGCCUGUGAAGGUGUACUGUGAGGUAUGCUGGAGGUAUCAGAAGUGCGAAUGCUGACAUAAGUAACGAUAAAGCGGGUGAAAAGCCCGCUCGCCGGAAGACCAAGGGUUCCUGUCCAACGUUAAUCGGGGCAGGGUGAGUCGACCCCUAAGGCGAGGCCGAAAGGCGUAGUCGAUGGGAAACAGGUUAAUAUUCCUGUACUUGGUGUUACUGCGAAGGGGGGACGGAGAAGGCUAUGUUGGCCGGGCGACGGUUGUCCCGGUUUAAGCGUGUAGGCUGGUUUUCCAGGCAAAUCCGGAAAAUCAAGGCUGAGGCGUGAUGACGAGGCACUACGGUGCUGAAGCAACAAAUGCCCUGCUUCCAGGAAAAGCCUCUAAGCAUCAGGUAACAUCAAAUCGUACCCCAAACCGACACAGGUGGUCAGGUAGAGAAUACCAAGGCGCUUGAGAGAACUCGGGUGAAGGAACUAGGCAAAAUGGUGCCGUAACUUCGGGAGAAGGCACGCUGAUAUGUAGGUGAAGUCCCUCGCGGAUGGAGCUGAAAUCAGUCGAAGAUACCAGCUGGCUGCAACUGUUUAUUAAAAACACAGCACUGUGCAAACACGAAAGUGGACGUAUACGGUGUGACGCCUGCCCGGUGCCGGAAGGUUAAUUGAUGGGGUUAGCGCAAGCGAAGCUCUUGAUCGAAGCCCCGGUAAACGGCGGCCGUAACUAUAACGGUCCUAAGGUAGCGAAAUUCCUUGUCGGGUAAGUUCCGACCUGCACGAAUGGCGUAAUGAUGGCCAGGCUGUCUCCACCCGAGACUCAGUGAAAUUGAACUCGCUGUGAAGAUGCAGUGUACCCGCGGCAAGACGGAAAGACCCCGUGAACCUUUACUAUAGCUUGACACUGAACAUUGAGCCUUGAUGUGUAGGAUAGGUGGGAGGCUUUGAAGUGUGGACGCCAGUCUGCAUGGAGCCGACCUUGAAAUACCACCCUUUAAUGUUUGAUGUUCUAACGUUGACCCGUGAUCCGGGUUGCGGACAGUGUCUGGUGGGUAGUUUGACUGGGGCGGUCUCCUCCUAAAGAGUAACGGAGGAGCACGAAGGUUGGCUAAUCCUGGUCGGACAUCAGGAGGUUAGUGCAAUGGCAUAAGCCAGCUUGACUGCGAGCGUGACGGCGCGAGCAGGUGCGAAAGCAGGUCAUAGUGAUCCGGUGGUUCUGAAUGGAAGGGCCAUCGCUCAACGGAUAAAAGGUACUCCGGGGAUAACAGGCUGAUACCGCCCAAGAGUUCAUAUCGACGGCGGUGUUUGGCACCUCGAUGUCGGCUCAUCACAUCCUGGGGCUGAAGUAGGUCCCAAGGGUAUGGCUGUUCGCCAUUUAAAGUGGUACGCGAGCUGGGUUUAGAACGUCGUGAGACAGUUCGGUCCCUAUCUGCCGUGGGCGCUGGAGAACUGAGGGGGGCUGCUCCUAGUACGAGAGGACCGGAGUGGACGCAUCACUGGUGUUCGGGUUGUCAUGCCAAUGGCACUGCCCGGUAGCUAAAUGCGGAAGAGAUAAGUGCUGAAAGCAUCUAAGCACGAAACUUGCCCCGAGAUGAGUUCUCCCUGACCCUUUAAGGGUCCUGAAGGAACGUUGAAGACGACGACGUUGAUAGGCCGGGUGUGUAAGCGCAGCGAUGCGUUGAGCUAACCGGUACUAAUGAACCGUGAGGCUUAACCUU